CGGCGGACGGGUGAGUAACGCGUGGGUAACCUGCCUUAUACAGGGGGAUAACAGUCAGAAAUGACUGCUAAUACCGCAUAAGCGCACAGUACCGCAUGGUAGUGUGUGAAAAACUCCGGUGGUAUAAGAUGGACCCGCGUCUGAUUAGCCAGUUGGCGGGGUAACGGCCCACCAAAGCGACGAUCAGUAGCCGACCUGAGAGGGUGACCGGCCACAUUGGGACUGAGACACGGCCCAAACUCCUACGGGAGGCAGCAG
This 258-nucleotide ribosomal RNA is filed under the name uncultured bacterium. RNAcentral describes it as "partial 16S ribosomal RNA". It matches the Rfam family "Bacterial small subunit ribosomal RNA", at positions 96 to 354 of the family's 1533-position model. The record is from RNAcentral.